AUUUAAUUGAAGAGUUUGAUCAUGGCUCAGAUUGAACGCUGGCGGUAGGUUUUAAACAUGCAAGUCGAGCGGUAACAGACAUUUUGAUUCAGCUUGCUGAAUCUCGUGCUGACGAGCGGCGAACGGGUGAGUAACACGUAGGAAUUUACCCAGUAGAGGGGGAUAGCCCGAGGAAACUCGGAUUAAUACCGCAUACGCCCUAAGGGGGAAAGAAGGCACCUUUGGUGCUUUCACUAUUGGAUAAGCCUGCGUAAGAUUAGCUAGUUGGUAAGGUAAAGGCUUACCAAGGCUACGAUCUUUAGCUGGUCUGAGAGGACGAUCAGCCACAUUGGGACUGAGACACGGCCCAGACGUCUACGGACGGCAGCAGUUAAGAAUAUUGGACAAUGGGGGAAACCCUGAUCCAGCCAUACCGCGUGUGUGAAGAAGGCCUUAGGGUUGUAAAGCACUUUAAGCAGUGAAGAAGAAUAUUGAACUAAUAAUUUAAUAUUUUGACAUUAGCUGCAGAAUAAGUACCGGCUAACUCCGUGCCAGCAGCCGCGGUAAUACGGAGGGUACAAGCGUUAAUCGGAAUUACUGGGCGUAAAGCGCGCGUA
This 596-nucleotide ribosomal RNA is filed under the name Gammaproteobacteria bacterium. RNAcentral describes it as "bacterial SSU rRNA". It matches the Rfam family "Bacterial small subunit ribosomal RNA", at positions 1 to 573 of the family's 1533-position model. The record is from RNAcentral. Lineage: Bacteria; Pseudomonadati; Pseudomonadota; Gammaproteobacteria.